Molecule: ribosomal RNA, 301 nt
Filed under: uncultured bacterium
Lineage: Bacteria
Description: partial 16S ribosomal RNA
Rfam family: Bacterial small subunit ribosomal RNA
Source: RNAcentral
CAGUCGCCGCGGUAAUACGAAGGGGGCUAGCGUUGUUCGGAAUCACUGAGCGUAAAGGGUGCGUAGGCGGGAUCUUAAGUCAGGGGUGAAAUCCCGAGGCUCAACCUCGGAACUGCCUUUGAUACUGGGGUCCUUGAGUCCGGAAGAGGUGAGUGGAACUGCGAGUGUAGAGGUGAAAUUCGUAGAUAUUCGCAAGAACACCGGUGGCGAAGGCGGCUCACUGGUCCGGAACUGACGCUGAGGCACGACAGCGUGGGGAGCAAACAGGAUUAGAUACCCGGGUAGUCCCUGUCUCUUAUAC